RNAcentral lists this long non-coding RNA (9309 nucleotides) under Marmota monax (woodchuck). The record is from RNAcentral. Lineage: Eukaryota; Metazoa; Chordata; Mammalia; Rodentia; Sciuridae.
GCUCCUGCUCAGCUCCUGGAACUCCUGCUGCUCUGCCUCCCAGGUAAGGAGGGACAGUACUGGGGAUUUACUAAUCACAGUGUGGUCAGUGCUGUAUGGCUACUCAGGAAAGUCCUCUUGGAACAUCACUACUUACAAGGAUUAUUUUUUAUGUUUCCAAUGGCAGGUGUCAGAUGUGACAUCACAAUGACCCAGUCUCCAUCCUCUUUGCCUGUUUCUCGUGGGGAGAGAGUCACCAUCACCUGUAGUGCCAAUGAGGACAUUAGCAAUUAUUUAUACUAGUAUCAGCAUAAGCCAGGCCAAGAUCCUAAGACCUUCAUUGAUCUUGUAACCGGUUUACAAUCCGAGGUCCCCUUGAGAUUCAAUGGCAGUGGACUUGUAACAGAUUUCACUUUCACCAUCAGCAAAUUGGAGCCUGAAGAUGUUGUCACUUAUUACUGUCAACAAUAUAACCGUUACCCUCCCACGGUGAUACAGGCCAUGACAAAAACCUCCCAGGGAGAAGAAGUGUGAGGCUGGGCUGCCCCAGCUCCUCCUCCUGCUGCCUCCCCUUCCUGAGGGCACAGCUCAGAGGCAGCCAGGCCUGAGAACUACAAGGAGGGUCAGUCAGAGGAUCCUGGGGGGCUCCUCUGCACCCUGACCCUUCAGCUCAGCCCCAGCAGGCAAUGAGCUCACUAUAUGAUAAAGAAAAUAAUUUAAGACCUGAACAGACUGAAUUAGGCAGUAUCAGGGUUGUGCCCAAAUAUAGGCCUCUCCAUGUAUUCCACACAAGAAUGUUUUACACUUUAUUUUUUAGUAUAGUUUAUGUCCCCAGCAAAAUAGGAGUGAAGUGAAGAGUUCUCCUGUGUCCCCCCUGCUCCCAAAGCCCCUCCAUCACCACCCCAUACUCUCUUGCUUCUGUUAUAAUUUAUCAACCUCUGACCAUGUCUACAGGUUACACCAGGGUCACUUUGUGCAUUCUGUGGAACUAGACAAGUGGACAGUGACAUGUGUCCAACAGUGUGGCCUGGCACAGUGCAGGUCCGGCCCUCACACUGUCUGAGCUCCAGCUGCUCCUCACCCAGCUCUCUGCUGCAGAUCUUUAUGAUUUUCCAUGCUGUAAUUUCUCCUGGGCUGAGUGACAGGGCCUGGAAUUUACAGCAUGGACGAUGUUCAAACUGGCUCUCACCUGAGUGCUAUGCAUGUAAGUUUCCUUCCUUCAUGGAUUUUCAUUACAUGAUAGCUGUUUUCUUUUUUUCUCUCUUUUUAAUUUUGUACUUAAUACAGGCAUGUGCAACCACUUACCCAUAUUCACAGACCUCUUUCUUUUAAAUUGGUUUGUUUGUUUGGUUUGAUUCAGUGGGUUUUUUUGUUUGUUUUUUGUUUUUUUGUUUUUGUUUUGUUUUGUUCUCUCUAAGUUUUUAGGUCCUGGCUAAGUUGCUGAACAUGGCCUUCAACUUGUGCUCCUUCUACCUCAGCCUCCCAGUUGCUGGGGUUAGAGGCAAGAAUCAUUACAGACUUCUCAAUAGCUGUGUUCUAUUCAGUGCUGAGUUCGACUCUACUUCUGGCUUCUGGACAGUAUUGAUCCAUCCCCCUAAUGAAGGGCAGGCUUGUGUCCUCCAAGUUUUCAAUGCUGAACACAGUUCCUAUAAGUUUUCCUGUUCAGGUUUUUUGGUUUUUUUUUUUUUUUUUAGAUUUGUGUUAACACAUAGCACAUGUUUAACAUGUAUUAGACAUAAGGAGCAUGAUUGCUGCCUGUUUGGUAGCAGAAUGCCUAGUGUUAUCAGAAUCUGUCACACUGUCCUGCACAUCAUGUUUUCAUCUUGGAGACAGCUUGUCAACACUCCGCAGAACACUCAGUUGCUGGGAGUGGCUUGUGACUGCAGCCAGGACCAGCUCAGCAACAGGGAUGGGGCCUGUACUGCGUUCCUGCUGCCCAUGGCGGGUUUGUCCCCUCCUGGAUUUGGCCAUUCCCUCCAAGAGGUGCUUGUCAUGUGUUUUUAUUUGCAUUUCCCUGGUGAUUUGGGAUGUCAUAGUGAUGUUUGGACAUAUGUCCAUAAUGUGCAGUGGUCAUCUGAGCUGUCAAAUGCUUGUCAUUUGUCCCUUCCUUUUUGGUCCUUCUCCAUCCCUGUGUUCCAAGAUUCAUGUUCCUAUCACAUAUUAUUUCUUUAUAGAGCACUUUGCACCCACUUUGGGGUUAGCAAUGUAUUAUUCUCUUUGUUUUUCUACACCUGAGGGGCUCUUAAUUUUACAUUGGUAUCUGAAGUACAUUUCCCUAGAUCUAGAGUUCUAGCUCAUCAGAAUUGUCCUUCAGCACUUGAAAGUGUGUCCUUUCCCUUAUCCUCCCUGUUUUCUGGGUAGAAAUUCUCUGGUGAUUCUAGUUGCUUCUCCCAUAAAGCUAAGGAUUCUGUCUCUGUCUUCAGAAGCUGGCAGUGAGGCUGUGAGGGGAGCUGAGAGGCACCUCCUGGUUCAUUCUGAGUCCCUGUGCAUUUGCCUUCUCAGGGUUCUCUAGCUUGGUGUGACCUUUGCUGUCCCUCCUGUUGCCUCCUUCCUCUGUCUGCUCCAUUCACCUGUUGAGCUCACCUCUGCUUUCAUUGUGGAGGAUGCAUUUUUCAUUUCUGAAACUUCCAUUUUUUGCCUUUGCACAGUUUCAAUACUCUUGUUGAUGCUUUCUGAUUGUUUUUCAUUUCUUUACAACAUAUUUGCAGGUGCUCGUUGAUGCACUUUUAUGGUGACUGCUUUAAAAUCCAGUUCAGAUAAUCCUUAGAUACAUUUCAACUCAGUUAAUGUGAACUGACUGAACUUUCUCUCAUUCACGUGAGUUUACCCAGGUUUUCAUAUAAUGAAGGAUGUUUUCUUUUUUACUUGGACAUUACUGGUAUUGGGUCCCCUCAUAGGCCUAUAAUUCUUAACUUCUAACAAGCUCCUAUUUAGUGCCAGUGCUUUGAAUUCUGGUCUACAGAGAGCCACUACCUUACCCAAAAGAAAGGUUUCUUAUCCUGCUAGGCCCAGGAAGCACAUUCUCCUUGGAAGCCCUUCAUCCACACAGAGGCCUGAAUUCAAGGCAAAUCCACUUAAUCACUCAUGGUGAGUUUCCUGUCAGUGGGACAAAAUUCCAACAGUCAUCUAACUUAAAGGAGAAAACGUUUAUUUAAGUACAUUGGUUCAGAAAGUCAGUCCAUGGUCAGCUGACCCCAUUGUUCUGGGCCCAGGUGGGCAGAACUUCAGGGCAGAAGGGUAUGUAUAAGGAUUGAUGCUUCACCCAUGGUGGCCAGGAAGUGCAAGGAGAGCAGGAAGGGGCCUGAGGGAGGAUGCACAUUCUAGGGCUCACCCCUAGUGACCACCUGCUCCAGCCACACUCCCUGCCCUCAGUCACCACCCAGUUAGUCCACUCAGGCCAGGACAGCCAGAAUAACCUCAGCUUUCCUCUUCUUGUCAUUUCACCUCUGAAUACUCCUGUAUUAACACAGUAGGUGAAGGGGGUCACCUGAAGUUGAAACCAAAGCACAAUCCACAGAAGUGCACAUGCAAGGACAUCAAUAUAGCUGUUUUGAUUCUAGCAGAAUUUUUUUUUUUUUUAUUAAAACAGUGAUUCAUGGUCUGGAACCAAAUACCACACAUGGCACAUGAUCUGAGGGAAGUAUGUCAUGGAGCAGAAAAUUAAGAACUCCUCACUGUGCCCUUUCCCUUUCCUCUUUCCAUCACUAGCCUGCCACAGCAAAGCUGCUGCCUCUGCUGAGCCCUAUGUUUGCAGGGGCAGGAAUUAAAGUAUCUUCCCUAUUUUUGUUUCUUCUGAUUGUUCCCAAUUUUACUCUAUCUUCUUUUGAGGACAAUUCUCAUUUGUAUUUGACAAGUGUUUAUCUUCUCAGGAUCACUGGGACUCUGAUUUCUGUCUUCUCCCUCCAUGACCUGAACCAACCUGCUUUCCAGGAAUUCAUACACAGAUUUUUGACAAGGACACAUAUCUUUCCACACAGAGUUUGUGACCAUACACUCUUCUUAAAUAUGGGCUAUAAUUCUUAAUUUCUAGAAAGCUCCUAUUUAGUGCCAGUGCUUUGACUUCUGGUCUACAAGGGCCACAGCUCACCCAAAAGAAAGGUUUCUUAUCCUGAUAGGCCCAGGAGGCAUAUUCUCCUUGGAAGAACAUUCUCCUUGAUAAAAUAAAUCAGAGCCACCCAUCAUUCUGGCUUUACUGUGGGGAAAGUCACCUUACCUGUGCCACCUUAUGAUGCUAAUGCAUUCAAGUCAAAACCUCUCCACACCCCCCACACCCAUUGGCAUUAACUGAUGAGGACAACCCUUGUGGUUCUCAGAGUGAGCUCAUGAUGAGGUGUAGGGUAAGAGAGAAACUUGGUACUAGACACCUGGUCUCUAUACAUGAAUUAUAACUUUGCUCUGAAUCUUCUGAUUCCCAGAGGUGUCAUCUGCAUCUUAGAAAAAAGUGUUUUCUAUCUACUCUUUCACUUUUUCAAAAUGAUAUUUGGCAUAAAACCCCAACAUUGAAAAUACAAAUUUGGAUCUCAGUUGAUGAUAUUUGUUAAUAAUUUUCACAAAUUAGUUUAUAAAAUUAUAUCACUUUUUAGUCAUUUAUUUUUCAGCAUUGCACAAUUUUUUCCCCAAAAUUGCAAAAAAAAAAAAAUUAAAUUGAUAUUUCUACACUGUGGCUUCUCAUAGACACACUCACCAGUUAUCUGCACAAAAAAAUUUCAUAGAGUAGAACAUCACACUUAUAGUCUGGAAUUGUGCCAGGUGUAUUGAAUUCAAAUGUGAAAAUAAGCUGAGUGAGGGGGAGCUUCUAUAGGACACCAGGUGUGCAUGUGUGUGAUCUCUGUGAACUGGAUUGGAAGCACAAUAUUUUCAAGUUCUAUUCCAUGUACUCUAGGUCCAUGUAGAGUGCUUCCCCACUUCCUUCAGGUCAAAACUCAAGGAAAGAGAGCUGUAAUUAGUCACCUGGUCCUGAGGCUGAUCCUCAGUCCCAACUGCCUUCCCAAGAUUGACCCUUGCAUGAAGCACCACCCUCCUGGGCUCUCUCCCUCCUCUAUUGGAUUACAUUAAAACUUUAUCAAUAUUUUACAAACAAGCUAUCUUUGUAUCACUUCAAAAAAUCCUUGUUGCUCUUGUAACUUUCUUUUCCAUUUCCCAAUAGAUAUUUUUUCAAAUGUGAAGGUAAUUGUACCUCAAGUUUAGUGGAAUUUAUCAUUCUUUUUUCAAUAUAAGCCCAGACAUUCUCUGAUGUUUUAGGGUUUUCAAGUUUAUGGCAGAAUUUGCUGGAACAAGUUAAAGCCCUGACAUGAGGUCAAGUGCACUUGAGCCAGUGUGUGAUCUAGGCUUUGAUGUCCUUGUGGUCCUGGGUACCUGACCAUGAAGGAAACAGUGGCUGCAUGAGUGAAAUUGGGAAGAAUCAUUUCAACCCUGAUGAGCUAUGUGUGGGUCUGCUGUGGUGAGAGGUGUGUAGAGUGUGUGACUCUUCCCCUCUGUGUUUCCAGGAAAGCACAGGGGCAUCUGGAGAUGCAUCUGAGGUGGGAGGUGGGAUACCCAUGACCAAUAAAGCUCAGCAAAAGCAAAGACCACAAAGUGCCCCUGGGAACAGCAAGGGCCCUGAGAUCUCAGAAGAAUAUUGUUCAUUGAAAAGCAUAUAUAUAUAUAUAUAUAUAUAUAUAUAUAUAUAUAUAUAUAUUACUUCUGCAGUGUAUAAAAUAAACCAGGCCUACAGUAAUUGAUAACCUUUUCAAAAUAAUUCAAAUAACAGUCACUAGUUAAUUGGCCACAGUCCACAGCUAGAAGAGCCAACAUUAAAAAUGCUGAAAAGGCAUAAAUGUGCAUGAUAUUCCUUACUUAUUGUUCUUUUCUUCUCCCUUCACAAGUGACUUUCUGAUCUUUUCUUGGGGUGCAAAAAAUCUGUUUUAUUCUUUAACUUGACCUCUGUAGAGUGUUUCUAUGUAGGUGACCUUGAACACCUUCACUUCCUCCUCCUAUUUCUAUGUCCUCAUAUUAGUGGCUGGGAUGAGUCACAGCUGUCAUGUGCUGAACCUCCCAGGCCACAGCAGACUCCAGACCUCAGCCAGGGAUGAAUCUCCUGACACAUCCUCCCCUGCAGAUGCCCAGGGUCACCAUCCUCCUAGCCCACCUCCAAGUGGGUCUGUUUUCCAUAAAAAAAAAAAUCCAAUAAACCUGUUUUUGAUUAAGAAAGAAAAAUAUAAGCCACUCUCACCUGGGCAGAGAACACACUAGUCACAGGUGACCCUGGAGCCCCAGGACUCCAAAGGGAAGAUGAGGAUCUGAGCAGGGGUCCUCAGGGGCCAGGGGUAGGACUCUCCCUUGCUCACUACCUGCAGAGGCUGAGGAGAGAGGGCCAGUGUCUGGUGGCACCUGGAGCUGAAGCACCUUGGGACCUUCCCUGCUACUCCUUUGGUCCAUGGGUGACCCCACCCAACUGCUGAGAGCUGGCCCUGGGCAUGAGAGCCCCUGUUAGCUGCAAAUGUCUCACAGAGGCUCUGGAAGGGAUUGGGUCAGAAGCAGUAGGUGGGUUGGCAAUUGUAGACCAGAAACCACCACAGCCCCCACCCCUAUACCUGCACCAUGCAGGGUCCCUUAGGCCCCUUCUUUCUUUGACAAAACCACAUCUUUGGCAUCUCAUGGGUGUCACACAGCCAAGACAUCCACUGCCCAAGACCAGUCUGGCUUAUGAAUUCCUGCUAAACUGAUAAGCCUUUGUUUUUCAGCAGAAGGACAAUUUCUUGGGGAGAUUGGUCACUUGAGUUUCCUAGAGAAUCUCACCUGGUAAUAAAGGGAGAGAAACCACUUCAUGAAUUGGGGAUAAAAUAUCCAUGGUCAAGACAUUGGACCCCAGGUAUAGAUCCUGCCUAUUGAUGCUCCCCACACCCAUCACUAGAGAGCUAACACACUCUUGACCACAACCUGCACAGGUGAGACAAACUGGGCUUCAAUGGACUGGCUGCAAGUUUAAUCUAAGAAGAAGGUGGCAAAAAACCACAUCACAGAAAAAAUUUUGACAUCAACAUCAGGACAGCUCUUUGACCAUAAGGGCCAAACCUCCAUGAUGGAAAAAAAAGGAGAUAGAGAGCUCACAUUUUCUUUAUUUUAUAGGGAGGGACAUCAGAGGAAGGGAAAAGUUUUCAAAGGUGGGGUCUUGCUUCAUGAGUCUUGUGGUCAGCAGACUGAUUGACAUCUUGGCAGGUCACACCCACCUCAGGUGCUAUGUGGGAUCUUAGGCAAAGCUAGAGGGUGAGGUGCACCUGCAUCAUGUGAUUAAUCCCUGACAGGGACUUUGCAGUGCCAGACCUGUCCCCUCAGAAGUCUACUAUGCACAAUCCACACGCAGCCCAUGGGCAGCUCAUGACAACACACCAGAAAAUAAACAAUCCAAGAAAACUGAUCUAGAAGCCCUGGGACAGGAGAGAUCCCAUCCCAUGGGGGCCACAAAGGCUUGGGUGCUCUGCCCUGCACUCAGUUCCACAGGGAUCCAGGGCUCUCUACAUGGGCUGUAUCUCCCCAGAUGCAAGCUCAGGUAGGGUUUCUGAUCUACUUUGUGACUAUAAUAUCCACAACCAAACACAGGGAACUUUCCCCCAGGGAUUCACGGAGUGCAGUCAGAAUACAGGUCAGCAGAGGAUCAGGCUGGUGAGAGGACAAGUCCCUGCUCUGAGGGUGCCCCAGAUGAGCAAGGAGGAUGGACUGUCCUUAUGAAUUCAAAGAGGGAAGAAAACACACUGAGAGCCCAUUCAGUGAUUGUGACCAGACUUGGAGGUGUCCAGAGAGGAGGAGACAGAAGUGGAAGAGAGAGGUGUUACAAUUCCAGUGCUGUCCCCAGGAUGUCCCCAGAGCCCUCAUCAAGGAGCAGGUCACUGUUCAGUACACACGGGCCCAGGGUGGGCUGAGCUUCAUCUUCACUAAAGCUAUGAAAGGAACUAAAACUUGCUUCUAAAAUUACUCUAACCUUUCCAGAAAGACACUUAGGAAAGGGCCUGUGUAGGCUUUGCCUGCUCUUCUCAGGACGGGAGGAAACACCACAUGUCUAAGUGUGUCUUGGGGACACUGAGGAAGGAAGGGCAGAAUCAUACUGGGUUCUAUCCCACCCUGGCCUCCUGGUCCAGCAAGGCCAAUGUGUAGAGAAACCUAAACCACAUCACAGAGUUUACAUAUUCUACUUUCUUCCUGCCUUCAGGGCUCUUUUCACAUCCUAAGCACAAAAUGUCUCUUUCCCCCUUAUUUCUCCUGUUCCUAAGGUCAGUAAUAAAAGAAAAAAAAAUGUCCUUAGGAGACACAAGAAAAGCCUUUCCUGGAUCAUGAAGAAAGCAAUAAGUCACUCCUCACAGGAGAGUAUUCUGGUUGUGUCCUGUGUGUUCCAGGUGAAUCAUAUUCUGCUCUGGCACAUCUGUGCUGCUCUCAACUGAACUGGGACAAUGGGCACAUCUGGCCUGUGCUGAGUGUCAGAUGAGCAGCCCUGCAGCUGUGCCCAGCCUGCCCAGCCCUGCUGAUUUACAUGUUCCCACAGCACAGCCCAUUGUCCUGCGGACUUCUUAAGAGGCUGCUCACACCCUGUGCAGGAGUCAUCCCGGUCAGGAAACAGCAUGGCCAUAAGGGUCCCUGCUCAGGUCCUGGGGCUCCUGCUGCUCUGCCUUUCAGGUAAGGAGGGACAGUACUGGGGAUUUGCUUAUCCCCCUCUGGUCAGUGAUGCCUGUCACUUGGAGGAUGGAGUCUUGUAUCAUAAUUAGUGAGGUUUUAAUUUUAUUAUUUAUUUAUUUAUUUAAUGUUUUCAAUGUCAGGUUCCAGAUGUGACAUCCAGAUGACCCAGUCUCCUUCACCCCUGUCUGCAUCUCAAGGAGACAGAGUCACCAUCACCUGCAGGGCCAGUGAGGACAUUAGCGAUUUUUUACACUGGCAUAAGCAGAAAUGAGAACAAGCUCCUAAGCUCCUCAUCACAUAUGCAAACACUUUGCAAUCUAGGGUCCCCUCGAGGUUCAGUGGCAGUGGAUCUGUGACAGAUUUUACUCUCACCAUCAGCAGUCUGGAGCCUGAAGAUGUUGCCACUUAUUUCUGUCAACAAGGUAGCAGUUCCCCUCCCACAGUGACACAGGCCAUGACAAAAACCUCCCAGGGAGCAGAAGUGUGAGGCUAGGCUGCCCCAGGUUCUUCUCCUUCGGCAUCCACCUGCUGAGGGCACUGCUCAGAGUCACCAGGCUCUGAGGUCACAGUGAGGGUUUCCUAGAGGGGAAGUGGGAGGAUUCUUUUUCCAGUGGUCCCUUGCUUUUCCUCAGCCCCAGCAACUCAGAGAAGACAAUUCAUUUCCUGGUGUAAUCCAGAGUAAAG